This 253-nucleotide ribosomal RNA is filed under the name uncultured bacterium. Its description in RNAcentral is "partial 16S ribosomal RNA". It matches the Rfam family "Bacterial small subunit ribosomal RNA", at positions 524 to 776 of the family's 1533-position model. The record is from RNAcentral.
UACGUAGGUGACCAGCGUUGUCCGGAUUUACUGGGCGUAAAGAGCGCGCAGGCGGUCGUUCAAGUCGAGCGUGAAAGCCCCCGGCUCAACUGGGGAGGGUCACUCGAUACUGAUCGACUCGAAGGCAGAAGAGGGAAGCGGAAUUCCCGGUGUAGUGGUGAAAUGCGUAGAUAUCGGGAGGAACACCAGUGGCGAAGGCGACUACCUGGCCUGUUCUUGACGCUGAGGCGCGAAAGCUAGGGGAGCAAACGGG